CAUACAAAGAGAAGCGACCUCGCGAGAGCAAGCGGACCUCAUAAAGUGCGUCGUAGUCCGGAUUGGAGUCUGCAACUCGACUCCAUGAAGUCGGAAUCGCUAGUAAUCGUGGAUCAGAAUGCCACGGUGAAUACGUUCCCGGGCCUUGUACACACCGCCCGUCACACCAUGGGAGUGGGUUGCAAAAGAAGUAGGUAGCUUAACCUUCGGGAGGGCGCUUACCACUUUGUGAUUCAUGACUGGGGUGAAGUCGUAACAAGGUAACCGUAGGGGAACCUGCGGUUGGAUCACCUCCUUA
Molecule: ribosomal RNA, 298 nt
Filed under: Escherichia coli
Lineage: Bacteria; Pseudomonadati; Pseudomonadota; Gammaproteobacteria; Enterobacterales; Enterobacteriaceae
Also listed under: 2 other names
Description: partial 16S ribosomal RNA
Rfam family: Bacterial small subunit ribosomal RNA
Source: RNAcentral